GGCGACUCUGGCAGCUGCGGCUGCGGCGAGGUGAGGUGGUGAUUGAUUUUUGAUGACAUUUGGAAGCAUACUUGCAAAUCAAUAUCAAGUGUUGAAUUUUUUUCUUUUCUUUUUUGUGGACUGAUACUAGUUCUACUUGUAAAUCAAGAUCAAGUGUUGAUUUUUUUUGUGGACUGAUAUAUAGUUAAUUUUGGGAUUAGUUGUGAUGGUUUUUUUGUUAUACUUAAUGGAUUAUUAUUAAAUUUGUUUGAUGGAUA
Long non-coding RNA from Camellia sinensis, 257 nucleotides. RefSeq lists it as uncharacterized. The record is from RefSeq and is a predicted model, not a curated record. NCBI's taxonomy places the organism in Eukaryota, Viridiplantae, Streptophyta, Magnoliopsida, Ericales, Theaceae.